Molecule: unclassified non-coding RNA, 408 nt
Filed under: Hevea brasiliensis (rubber tree)
Lineage: Eukaryota; Viridiplantae; Streptophyta; Magnoliopsida; Malpighiales; Euphorbiaceae
Source: RNAcentral
GGAGGCUACUCGACCCAGGGUCACACCUCAUUAAUGCCAAUCAAUUGAUGGAUCGUGUUGUAUGUGUUAGAUCAGGGGCCAAGAAGUCUUUACUUACUGUCUUCCGAAAUGGCAUUUGUCAUCCAAAAUUGGCAAUGGUUAUUGAUGACCGACUCAAAGUGUGGGAUGAUAAAGAUCAACCUCGUGUUCAUGUUGUCCCUGCUUUCGCUCCGUAUUAUGCUCCACUAGCAGAGAUGGCCAAUGCAGUACCGGUCCUGUGUGUGGCAAGAAAUGUUGCUUGUGAUGUUAGAGCUCGUUUCUUUAAAGAGUUUGAUGAAGGCCUACUCCGAAAGAUCUGUGAGAUUUUCUAUGAAGAUGAGGCUGUAAAUUUACCUUCUGCGCCUGAUGUUAGCAACUACUUAAUGUCCG